RNAcentral lists this transfer RNA (75 nucleotides) under Nitrososphaerota archaeon. Its description in RNAcentral is "tRNA-Thr". It matches the Rfam family "tRNA". From Rfam's summary of the family: Transfer RNA (tRNA) molecules are approximately 80 nucleotides in length. Their secondary structure includes four short double-helical elements and three loops (D, anti-codon, and T loops). Further hydrogen bonds mediate the characteristic L-shaped molecular structure. tRNAs have two regions of fundamental functional importance: the anti-codon, which is responsible for specific mRNA codon recognition, and the 3' end, to which the tRNAs corresponding amino acid is attached (by aminoacyl-tRNA synthetases). tRNAs cope with the degeneracy of the genetic code in two manners: having more than one tRNA (with a specific anti-codon) for a particular amino acid; and 'wobble' base-pairing, i.e. permitting non-standard base-pairing at the 3rd anti-codon position. Lineage: Archaea; Thermoproteati; Nitrososphaerota. The record is from RNAcentral.
GCCGUGGUAGCUCAGCCUGGCCAGAGCGAUUGCCUCGUAAGCAAUAGGUCACGGGCUCAAAUCCCGUCCACGGCU